UCCCUCUCAGGAUGGCACCUGGAGAGUUUCUAGUACUCUACUAGUCUCGGCUACAAGAGGAAGAGGCAAGCAGAGGCCUACCCAUUCCAUUGCUAGCUUGGCCAGUGGCAAGCGAGUGGAAGGCCAUCUGCUACAAGU
This 138-nucleotide small nucleolar RNA is filed under the name Ornithorhynchus anatinus (platypus). The record is from RNAcentral. Lineage: Eukaryota; Metazoa; Chordata; Mammalia; Monotremata; Ornithorhynchidae.